AGGUCUGAAUAGACAUUUAUUGAAAGAAGAUAUAAAAUGGCCAAUAAGCACAAGAAAAGAUGCUUGGUAUCAUUAGUCAUCAGGGAAAUACAAGACAAAACUAUAAUGAGAUAUCACUUCAUAUUCAUGAGGAUGGCUAUAGUCAGAAAGACAGAUAUUAACAAGUUUUGGGGAGGCUGUGGAGAAAGCAGAACCUUCAUACACUGCUGGCGAGAUUGUGAAAUGGUGCAUCUACUUUGGAAAACAGACUGGCAGUUCCUCAAGAAGUUAAACAUAGAAUUACCAUAUGAUCCAGCAAUUCUACUCCUAGGUACACACCCAAGAAAAAUAAAAGCAUGUCUGUACAAAAACUUGUACAUGAAUAUUCAUAGAAACGGUAUUCAGAAUAGCCAAAAGGUAGAAACAACCCAAAAGUCCAUUAACUGAUGAAGAGAUGAACUGUGAUAUAGCCAUACAAUGGAAUAUUAUUUGGCCAUAAAAAGGAGUGAAGUAGCAUGAUACAUGCUACAACACAGAUGAGUUCUGAAAACACUAUGCUACUGGGAAGCAGCAAGCAACAAAAAGCCAUAUAUUUUUAUUCCACUGAUAUUAAAUGCCCAGAAUGGGCAAAUAUAGACAGAAAAUAGCUUAAUGAUUGCUUAGGGCUGGGGGGAUUGGACUGUGAUAGCUAAGGGCUAUGGGGUUUCUUAGGUGCUGAAAAUGUUAUGAAAUAGAUUGUGGAGAUGUUUGAGCCACUCCGUGAAUGUAAUGAAAACCACGGAAUUGUACACUUUAAAUGGGUGAAUUAAGCAGCGUGUGAAUUAUUUCUCAAUAAAGCUGUUUAAAAAAAAACUGCGGAGUCACUGUGCUUGGCCCACUCAGUAGACUGAGUGUUAACGGGAACCCAGGUCUACGUGGCAGCACAGAGAUGAGCUCAAACUCCAGCUCAGCCACUUCCCAGCCAUGCAACCUCCUCAGACAGAUAGCCUCGUCUCCCUAAAAUGGAAACGGUGGGAAUAUUCACUGGAGUGAGGUCUCCUGGAGGUCUUCAUCUCAGCACCAAGACUCAGCCUCCUCAAAGAACAGGGAAAUUUGGACACAGGCACAGAAAAGACACAGAGGAGAUGACUGUGUGAAGACAGAGGCAGAGGCUGGAGUGAUGCAGCUACAAGCCAAGGAGCUCUCACGAUUGCCAGCAACCACCAGAAGCUGGAAGAAGCAAGUAAGGAUUCUCCCCAGAGCCUUCAGAGAGAACACGGCCCCGCCAACAACUUGAUUUUAGACUUCUGGCCUCCGGAAAUGGGAAUAAAUUCCUGCUGUUUAAAGCCACCCAGUUUGUGGUACUUGCUACAGCUGCCUUAGGAAAUUAACACAGUGACUAAGAGCUGGGGUCACAUUGCGUGUAACACUGUAUGUGCUGGGGGGGUGGGGUGGGGGCAGAGGGGGAGGGGCAGAGAGGGCUGCGUGGGAGGAGGUGCUUUUCCUAGUUGUGUCUGCUGCUUGGGCAGGAGGCCCAGAGAACAGAACAGAACCCACAGUUCAGCGUGGCUCAUGGUAGACCCAGCUUUGAUGACUCAUGUGUUAUCAUCUUUGUGUCCUCCAUCGCGCCUAGAACAGGUUCUGCACCCAGAGGUGCUCAGGAAACAUUCAUUGGCCGGGCUGGCCUGGUCUCUCUUGGGCACCAGAGCUGUGCCGCCUACACAGUCCUUGCCACCCGCUGCUUUGCCCUGUACUGUUCAUGCACUUUUCUUGCUCCUCGUAUGCACUUAUUCACCAAACUGAUUGAUGCCCGAGCGCGAUGGGGUGCUUCUAGCCCAAAAGGGCUGACCUGUACUUUUCACUACGCCUCACCCACCUGAUUCCCCGUGUUCCACGUGUCAUGGUGCCUGCACACAGUAGGUGCCAUUACAUGCUUAGUGUUUUUGGAUGAGUUCGGCAUGUGAGGAAACAGACGGGAAUGGCUGGCUGGGCUGGAGAAAGCUACUCCAGCUUUACUAAAAAAGGAAUUUAGAGGCUGCUGCUAUUUGCUGAAUUAGCAGAGAAGCAUCGGCACCUCUGAAAGUCGUCAACAGGGAUUCCUGCUUACGGAGGCCACGCGCCGAGCCCAUAAUCCCCGCUCCAGAAGGGCGGCUUUAUCCUGAGUGUGACCUGAGAAACGAAAUCCCUCGGCUCUCACCGGCGGCCAGAGCCGUGUUAAACCAGAA
Molecule: long non-coding RNA, 2183 nt
Organism: Physeter macrocephalus (sperm whale)
Lineage: Eukaryota; Metazoa; Chordata; Mammalia; Artiodactyla; Physeteridae
Exons: 3
Source: RefSeq, a predicted model, not a curated record